AUACGUAGGGGACAAGCGUUGUCCGGAAUGACUGGGCGUAAAGGGCGCGUAGGCGGCGCUUCAAGUCGUCUGUCAAAUGGGAGGGCUUAACCCUUUUUCGCAGACGAAACUGGAGAGCUUGAGAAGCAGAGAGGCAAACAGAAUUCCUGGUGUAGCGGUGAAAUGCGUAGAUAUCAGGAAGAAUACCAGUGGCGAAGGCGGUUUGCUGGCUGCAUACUGACGCUGAAGCGCGAAAGCCAGGGGAGCAAACGGGAUUAGAUACCCCGGUAGUCCUGGCAGUAAACGAUGUAUGCUGGGUGUGAGACUAGCGAUAGUUUCGUGCCGAAGUUAACGCGAUAAGCAUACCGCCUGGGGAGUACGGUCGCAAGAUUGAAACUCAAAUGAAUUGGCGGGG
Molecule: ribosomal RNA, 394 nt
Filed under: uncultured bacterium
Lineage: Bacteria
Description: partial 16S ribosomal RNA
Rfam family: Bacterial small subunit ribosomal RNA
Source: RNAcentral